ACUGGCAACUUGGAGAAGUGGCAAGUCUUCCAGUAUGGGGAGCAAACAGCUAUGGGUCAAGCCCGAUACCUUUAAGAGAAGUCUUAUUGUGAGGGCGAGUUGUAUAACACCAUAGGGCUGGCCGUCCCAUAUGAAAAGAUUUUAUUAGAAUUGAAUGAAACUUUGUUUAUAUAUUGAUAAUGACAGUAUAUAUAUCGUGUCUUGACUAAUUGCGUGCCAGCAGUCGCGGUAAUACGUAAGAGACUAGUGUUAUUCAUCUUAAUUAGGUUUAAAGGGUACCCAGACGGUCUAUAUAGCUUAUAAAAUGUUAGUAUAAGACUAGAGUUUUAUGUAAGAGGGCAGUACUUGAGGAGGAGAGAUGAAAUUUCGUGAUACCAAAGGGACUCUGUAAAGGCGAAGGCAGCCCUCUAUGUAAAAACUGACGUUGAAGGACGAAGGCACAGAGAACAAACAGGAUUAGAUACCCAAGUAGUCUUUGCAGUAAAUGAUGAAUGCCAUAGGUUAGAUCUAUAUUUCUAUUAUAAUAAUACAUUUCUAUUAUUUAUUAUAAAACGCAUUCCUUAUAUAGCUUCCGCUAUAAUAUAUUUUAUAUAUAGUGCAGCAGAAAUUUUUGUAUCUGGUCUAUAAAUGAAAGUGUAAGCAUUUCACCUCAAGAGUAAUGUG
This 663-nucleotide ribosomal RNA is filed under the name Fusarium culmorum. RNAcentral describes it as "SSU rRNA". It matches the Rfam family "Bacterial small subunit ribosomal RNA", at positions 312 to 887 of the family's 1533-position model. Lineage: Eukaryota; Fungi; Ascomycota; Sordariomycetes; Hypocreales; Nectriaceae. The record is from RNAcentral.